GUUCCGCAGCUGCGCGCCAAAGGAACCCCCGCCAGCAAAGGAGGAGUGGCAGCAAAGCCUCAGGAGGUGGCGGAGCCACCGGAAUCUCUGAGAUGCGGAGGAUGAUGGCGCUGGAUUGGAGACUGUUGCUGCUAUUUUGUAGACAUUCUUUCUGUCACGUGGUCUCU
RNAcentral lists this long non-coding RNA (167 nucleotides) under Ictidomys tridecemlineatus (thirteen-lined ground squirrel). Its description in RNAcentral is "lncRNA (ENSSTOG00000029356.1)". Lineage: Eukaryota; Metazoa; Chordata; Mammalia; Rodentia; Sciuridae. The record is from RNAcentral.